AGAGUUUGAUCAUGGCUCAGGACGAACGCUGGCGGCGUGCUUAACACAUGCAAGUCAAGGGGGCCCAGCAAUGGGCAACCGGCGAACGGGUGCGUAACACGUGAGCAACCUACCGAACUGUGGGGGAUAGCCGGCCUAACGGCCGAGUAAUACCGCAUACGCUUUCAUUGAGGCAUUUCAGUGAAAGGAAACCUACGGGACAGAUCGAGGGGCUCGCGGCCUAUCAGCUAGUUGGCGAGGUAACGGCUCACCAAGGCUACGACGGGUAGCUGGUCUGAGAGGAUGGCCAGCCACAUUGGGACUGAGAUACGGCCCAGACUCCUACGGGAGGCAGCAGUGGGGAAUCUUGCGCAAUGGCCUAACGGCUGACGCAGCGACGCCGCGUGUGGGAUGAAGCUCUUCGGAGUGUAAACCACUGUUGCCCGGGACGAAUAGCUCGAUUAAUCGAGCCUGACGGUACCGGGUGAGGAAGCACCGGCUAACUCCGUGCCAGCAGCCGCGGUAAUACGGGGGGUGCGAGCGUUGUCCGGAAUCACUGGGCGUAAAGGGCGCGUAGGUGGUUUGAUAAGGGUGUGGUGAAAGUCCGGGGCUCAACCCCGGAUCUGCCGUGCCGACUGUCAAACUCGAGGGCUGUGGAGGCAGACGGAAUUCCGGGUGUAGCGGUGGAAUGCGUAGAGAUCCGGAGGAAGACCGGUGGCGAAGGCGGUCUGCUGGGCAGUUUCUGACACUGAUGCGCGACAGCGUGGGGAGCAAACAGGAUUAGAUACCCUAGUAGUCC
This 778-nucleotide ribosomal RNA is filed under the name uncultured bacterium. RNAcentral describes it as "bacterial SSU rRNA". It matches the Rfam family "Bacterial small subunit ribosomal RNA", at positions 8 to 796 of the family's 1533-position model. The record is from RNAcentral.